GAUGAACGCUAGCGGCAGGCCUAAUACAUGCAAGUCUAGGGGGCAGCAAUGUCACCGGCAGACGGGUGCGUAACGCGUAUGCAACCUUCCCCCACCAGGGGUAUAGCCUGUGGAAACACGGAUUAAUCCCCAUAACGCAGGGUGGCCCGCAUGGGUCUAUUUGCUAAAGGUUUUUCCGGGUGGGGAUGGGCAUGCGUCCCAUUAGCUAGUUGGCGGGGUAACGGCCCACCAAGGCUACGAUGGGUAGGGGCCCUGAGAGGGGGGUCCCCCACACUGGCACUGAGACACGGGCCAGACUCCUACGGGAGGCAGCAGUAGGGAAUAUUGGGCAAUGGGCGGCAGCCUGACCCAGCCAUGCCGCGUGUGCGACGAAGGCCCUCGGGUCGUAAAGCACUUUUAUUCGGGAAGACACGCGGGGUGCGCCCCGCUAUGACGGUACCGAAGGAAUAAGCAACCGGCUAACUCCGUGCCAGCAGCCGCGGUAAU
Molecule: ribosomal RNA, 486 nt
Filed under: uncultured bacterium
Lineage: Bacteria
Description: bacterial SSU rRNA
Rfam family: Bacterial small subunit ribosomal RNA
Source: RNAcentral